Molecule: ribosomal RNA, 720 nt
Filed under: uncultured Acidobacteriota bacterium
Lineage: Bacteria; Pseudomonadati; Acidobacteriota
Description: bacterial SSU rRNA
Rfam family: Bacterial small subunit ribosomal RNA
Source: RNAcentral
GAAAGCCCCGCAAGGGGUGAGUAGAGUGGCAAACGGGUGAGUAACACGUGGGUGAUCUGCCUCAGAGUGGGGGAUAACGACCCGAAAGGGUCGCUAAUACCGCAUAACAUCCUGCCUUUGGAUAGGUGGCGAUCAAAGUUGGGGAUCCGCAAGGACCUGACGCUUGGAGAGGAGCCCGCGGCCGAUUAGCUAGUUGGUGAGGUAACGGCUCACCAAGGCAACGAUCGGUAUCCGGCCUGAGAGGGCGGACGGACACACUGGGACUGAGACACGGCCCAGACUCCUACGGGAGGCAGCAGUGGGGAAUUGUUCGCAAUGGGCGCAAGCCUGACGACGCAACGCCGCGUGGAGGACGAAGAUUUUCGGAUCGUAAACUCCUUUCGAUCGGGAAGAACAGCUCUCGAGUUAAUAGCUUGAGGGUCUGACGGUACCGAGAGAAGAAGCCCCGGCUAACUCCGUGCCAGCAGCCGCGGUAAUACGGGGGGGGCAAGCGUUGUUCGGAAUUACUGGGCGUAAAGGGCUCGUAGGCGGCCAACUAAGUCCGACGUGAAAUCCCAAGGCUUAACCUUGGAACUGCGUCGGAUACUGGAUGGCUUGAAAUCGGGAGAGGGAUGCAGAAUUCCAGGUGUAGCGGUGAAAUGCGUAGAUAUCUGGAGGAAUACCGGUGGCGAAGGCGGCAUCCUGGACCGACAUUGACGCUGAGGAGCGAAAGCUAGGGGA